AACUGUGAAUGAUGAUCAUGUUUAAACAUUGGGAAUCUCUCUGAAUCAGAGUGAAAGAAAACUGUUUUCUGACGCAGAG
This is a small nucleolar RNA of Eleginops maclovinus (Patagonian blennie), 79 nucleotides long. RefSeq annotates it as small nucleolar RNA SNORD79. NCBI's taxonomy places the organism in Eukaryota, Metazoa, Chordata, Actinopteri, Perciformes, Eleginopidae. The record is from RefSeq and is a predicted model, not a curated record. The transcript has a single exon.